Long non-coding RNA from Sander lucioperca (pikeperch), 198 nucleotides. RefSeq lists it as uncharacterized. The transcript has 3 exons. NCBI's taxonomy places the organism in Eukaryota, Metazoa, Chordata, Actinopteri, Perciformes, Percidae. The record is from RefSeq and is a predicted model, not a curated record.
UUCUUGCUGCUGGCUUGGACAUGAAGACGGAGACUCUACUCAAGUGGCGAAUGUGUAGUGAUCAUUCUAGACCAGACGACUUUGAAAAACCCUGCAAUCUAAAGGACCACAAGUCACUGACAACGAAUGCGGUUCCAUCCGUCUUUCUAGAUGCACCAACAGCUACUGAUGAACAGGCUUGGCUUCAGUCUGUCCAGA